This 254-nucleotide ribosomal RNA is filed under the name uncultured bacterium. RNAcentral's name for it is "partial 16S ribosomal RNA". It matches the Rfam family "Bacterial small subunit ribosomal RNA", at positions 524 to 776 of the family's 1533-position model. The record is from RNAcentral.
UACGUAGGGUGCGAGCGUUGUCCGGAAUUAUUGGGCGUAAAGAGCUCGUAGGCGGUGUGUCACGUCGGCCGUGAAAACCUGCAGCUUAACUGUGGGCGUGCGGUCGAUACGGGCAUCACUGGAGUUCGGCAGGGGAGACUGGAAUUCCUGGUGUAGCGGUGAAAUGCGCAGAUAUCAGGAGGAACACCGGUGGCGAAGGCGGGUCUCUGGGCCGAAAUUGACGCUGAGGAGCGAAAGCGUGGGGAGCAAACAGG